CCUACGGGAGGCAGCAGUGAGGAAUAUUGGUCAAUGGCCGGGAGGCUGAACCAGCCAAGUCGCGUGAGGGAAGACGGCCCUACGGGUUGUAAACCUCUUUUGUCAGGGAGCAAGGUGCAGGUCGGGACCUGCUGUGAGAGUACCUGAAGAAAAAGCAUCGGCUAACUCCGUGCCAGCAGCCGCGGUAAUACGGAGGAUGCGAGCGUUAUCCGGAUUUAUUGGGUUUAAAGGGUGCGCAGGCGGAGGCACAAGUCAGCGGUAAAAUCGCGGGGCUCAACCCCGCUCCGCCGUUGAAACUGUGUCCCUUGAGUGCGCGAAGGGUAGGCGGAAUGCGUGGUGUAGCGGUGAAAUGCAUAGAUAUCACGCAGAACUCCGAUCGCGAAGGCAGCCUACCGGCGCGCAACUGACGCUCAUGCACGAAAGCGUGGGUAUCGAACAGGAUUAGAUACCCCAGUAGUC
RNAcentral lists this ribosomal RNA (459 nucleotides) under uncultured bacterium. Its description in RNAcentral is "partial 16S ribosomal RNA". It matches the Rfam family "Bacterial small subunit ribosomal RNA", at positions 338 to 795 of the family's 1533-position model. The record is from RNAcentral.